GACGAACGCUGGCGGCGUGCUUAACACAUGCAAGUCGAACGGAAAGGCCCUGCUUUUGUGGGGUGCUCGAUUGGCGAACGGGUGAGUAACACGUGAGUAACCUGCCCUUGUCUUUGGGAUAACUUCAGGAAAAUGGGGCUAAUACCGGAUAGGAGCUCCUGCUGCAUGGUGUUGGUUGGAAAGUUUCGGCGGUUUGGGAUGGACUCGCGGCUUAUCAGCUUGUUGGUGGGGUAGUUGCUGACCAAGGGUUUGACGGGUAGCCGGCCUGAGAGGGUGACCGGCCACAUUGGGACUGAGAUAGGGCGCAGACUCCUACGGGAGGCAGCAGUGGGGAAUAUUGCACAACGGGCGGAAGCCUGAUGCAGCAACGCCGCGUGCGGGAUGACGGCCUUCGGGUUGUAAACCGCUUUCGACUGUGACGAAGCGUGAGUGACGGUAAUGGGUAAAGAAGCACCGGCUAACUACGUG
Molecule: ribosomal RNA, 468 nt
Filed under: uncultured bacterium
Lineage: Bacteria
Description: partial 16S ribosomal RNA
Rfam family: Bacterial small subunit ribosomal RNA
Source: RNAcentral